Gadus macrocephalus (Pacific cod) is the source of this 1607-nucleotide long non-coding RNA. RefSeq lists it as uncharacterized. The record is from RefSeq and is a predicted model, not a curated record. The transcript has 2 exons. Lineage: Eukaryota; Metazoa; Chordata; Actinopteri; Gadiformes; Gadidae.
UCCACUGCAGCGAGUGGACCCACCUCCCCUCCACUGCAGCUGGAUGUCCUGAAAUACACGAUCACGUAUGAUCCAAGGGAAGAAUAUCACUUGGUCAUGGAUGGAAUUGCCAUGGAAACUAGGAUUUUAUUUGUAAUGUAAAUAUGCAAAAGAUGUCUAAAGCUAAAUAGUUACAUUUGAAUUAAUAAUUUGUGAAGAUAAUUACCAGUUCUAGCAAUACUUGUGGUGAGAAAAAUAAGUUUGUACACUUGCUGUUUGUUCAUAAUGGCGGUUUUGUGGUGUUGAUAUUUGAUUAAAAAAAUACUAUUUAACAUACGCAAUCUUGUGGUUUACACCAAUUUAUUACACAUUUUGACCAGGUACAAAAUACAGUUGAACUAUGCAGUUUAUUACAGACCAUUGUCUGCCAUUAGGCUAUGUAAAGUGUAGUCAAGAAUGGGUUUAAAAAUACACUAAAAUAAAGGUUCAGUAUACUUGUAAGAAGAACCAAAUCUAAUUCAAUAAAAAAAAAUCAUUCUCAGCCCAAUGUCUAAACAGCAUUACAAAAACAUUACAAAGUACAUAAGAAUUUCCCAAAAGCACUUAAAGGCAAAUUACUGUGACAGGCGCAUGUUACAAAAAGAAAAACCUUACAUAACUCAACUCAAACUUAGAUCUUCAUGGCUACAACAAAAACCAGAGGGGAGUUACGCAAGGAUCCAGCAAAACAAUCAAAACCAAUUUCAAAACACAAAAGAUAUCAAAUGGGCCAAACGGUAUAAAUAUUUUUUUUCAUGACCACUGCACAACUUACUCGAGUGCAUCAGUGGCACAUCCAACUAAUAACAAGAACAUUCAUAUGAACAAUUGAGAUUUGAAAUGUAUCACACCAGUCUAAACCAUUAAAUUAAACAUCAAGCCCAUGUUCUCCAACACACACCAACCCCAAUAAAAUAGGACCAUUACUGACGAGAAGUAGUGUACCAAGAUAGAAGUUCAAAAGGCCACAGUAAUACACACACACAUUUUCUAUGUCAUAUAAAGAAAUAUAUUCAUAUAUCUUAACAGUAUCUUGGUUUCAUAUUUAGGUCUAUGGUUAAACUAUGGCUAUAUAUAGAUCUAUAUAUAUAUAUAUAUUUAUGUAUAUAUAGCAAGACAUCUAUAGGCACAUGUUAUGGGAGCCAUUUCAGUUUCAAAUCAUCAAAUAACUGAGCUGUCGUACAAAAAUCUCUUGUGGUGGGGGGGGAGAGAAGUCCCAUGAACAUCUGGGUGUUUCUGCAGACUUCUGCAGAACUCCCGGUCACCGCCUCAGCCAACAGGCUACCAGGGUGCUCGAUUUUAUUUAUCUAAAUAAGGAUUUUUGCUUUCAACAGGUCCAACCACAUUGUUCUUUGAAUGGGUCGAUCUCCUGGGUAGCAGGACGACGGACUCAAAGGGAGGAGAAGUGAGGAUUUCUGUAAUUUAAUUGAUUCUAUUUAUGCAGAAGGAUUUCUGAUAACAGUCUCUAUACAGUGGCUGUUUGCCUUUUAAAGUCAAGCAGUCCACUUUCCUCUCUCCAUCUCAGAGGUUUUAAGGAUCAGGACUCUUCAACACACCAGGUAAGGCUGUCGAACGCGUCCAUAAAAACA